UGAUUCUGAACAAGUACUCCAGUUUAAAUCACUUACUCAGUGAUUCGCUUGUGGUUCUUUAUUUUAGACUGUAGUGUGGAAUAUGGAGUCAUACGUACUAUUUUGAUACUUUAAUGGCAUUUUGUGUUAUUAAAUUCUUCUAAUUCUAGUUGUUGUUCAUUUGUAAUUAAAUGAAAAACUCUGACCAGUUUGUUCUUUGAUAUGAAUUCUUCUUUAUUCCCAAAAAUAUCAUAUGAAUUGUGAACAGUGUAAAAUGAGUUUUGUUGAAUUUUGAGAUUUUGUGCUUUAAAAGAAAGAUUUUACUUCACCUAUAUAAUUGUUUUAUUCAUUCCAGCAAUGUUAUGUAUAUAUUUUCAAACAGUGCCGCCUAGAGUUCAGAUUCCUAGAGUCAUGAUUUUUAUUAAAGUGAACCCAUCACAUUGCCUAAUACAAACUCAGUUGAUUCUAGUUGAUGUUAAUAUUUAUUCAGUGUCAACUGGAAGGAAAUCCUUCAAGAUUUUGACUGGGUGUUUGGGCUGAGAAAUUGUGCUUUAGACUUCCAUCUAGCGCUGCAGGACAAAGACAGUUAAACUGACUGCAGUUUAAAUCGGAGAGUUGAUUGUCCCUUGUUUAUUCCUUUUUCAGUGUAUGUCUAGCUGUGCAUCAUGGAAAGAAAUAUGUCAAAACUUGAGGCAUCAGCCAAGUACAGGCAUGAAAAUGACUGGAAACACAAGCAAACAAACAAGCAAAGGACAAAGGACCAAAUUCAGAGAAGCAGCUGUUUGGACUCUCAUUCUGACGGCACCCAUUCACUACAGAGGAUCCAUCUGUUUGGUUGAAGAAACAAGCUCACAUAUAUCUUGGAUUACCUGAGGAUGAGUAAAGUUUCAGCAAAUUUGGGGUAAACUAUUCUGCCUUAGAUGAAUAAAAGUAUUUUUUAAAGGAAAAAUAAAAUCUUA
Long non-coding RNA from Cyprinus carpio (common carp), 938 nucleotides. The record is from Ensembl. NCBI's taxonomy places the organism in Eukaryota, Metazoa, Chordata, Actinopteri, Cypriniformes, Cyprinidae.